AGUGAACGCUGGCGGUAGGCCUAACACAUGCAAGUCGAACGGCAGCACAGUAAGAGCUUGCUCUUACGGGUGGCGAGUGGCGGACGGGUGACGAAUACAUCGUAAUCUACUUUUUCGUGGGGGAUAACGUAGGGAAACUUACGCUAAUACCGCAUACGAUCUACGGGUGAAAGCAGGGGAUCUUCGGACCUUGCGCGAUUGAAUGAGCCGAGGUCGGAUUAGCUAGUUGGCGGGGUAAAGGCCCACCAAGGCGAGGAUCCGUAGCUGGUCUGAGAGGAUGAUCAGCGACACUGGAACUGAGACGCGGUCCAGACUCCUACGGGAGGCAGCAGUGGGGAAUAUUGGACAAUGGGCGCAAGCCUGAUCCAGCCAUACCGCGUGGGUGAAGAAGGCCUUCGGGUUGUAAAGCCCUUUUGUUGGGAAAGAACAGCAGCAGGUUAAUACGCCGCUGUUCUGACGGUACCCAAAGAAUAAGCACCGGCUAACUUCGUG
This 492-nucleotide ribosomal RNA is filed under the name uncultured bacterium. RNAcentral's name for it is "partial 16S ribosomal RNA". It matches the Rfam family "Bacterial small subunit ribosomal RNA", at positions 29 to 507 of the family's 1533-position model. The record is from RNAcentral.